This 253-nucleotide ribosomal RNA is filed under the name uncultured bacterium. RNAcentral describes it as "partial 16S ribosomal RNA". It matches the Rfam family "Bacterial small subunit ribosomal RNA", at positions 524 to 776 of the family's 1533-position model. The record is from RNAcentral.
GACAGAGGGUGCAAACGUUGUUCGGAAUUACUGGGCGUAAAGCGCGUGUAGGCUGCCCCGCAAGUCAGGUGUGAAAGCCCUGGGCUCAACCUAGGAAGUGCACUUGAAACUGCGGGGAUCGAGGGCUGGAGAGGGAAGCGGAAUUCUCGGUGUAGAGGUGAAAUUCGUAGAUAUCGAGAGGAACACCGGUGGCGAAGGCGGCUUCCUGGACAGUUACUGACGCUGAGACGCGAAAGCGUGGGGAGCGAACAGG